GAUAGCUCGGUCGGUAGAGCAUGAGACUCUUAAUCUCAAGGUUGUGGGUUCGAGCAAAAGAUUCCUGCAUUGCA
This 74-nucleotide transfer RNA is filed under the name Podarcis lilfordi (Lilford's wall lizard). RNAcentral describes it as "tRNA.Lys". The stretch from base 3 to 68 matches the Rfam family "tRNA", at positions 8 to 63 of the family's 71-position model. Rfam says of the family: Transfer RNA (tRNA) molecules are approximately 80 nucleotides in length. Their secondary structure includes four short double-helical elements and three loops (D, anti-codon, and T loops). Further hydrogen bonds mediate the characteristic L-shaped molecular structure. tRNAs have two regions of fundamental functional importance: the anti-codon, which is responsible for specific mRNA codon recognition, and the 3' end, to which the tRNAs corresponding amino acid is attached (by aminoacyl-tRNA synthetases). tRNAs cope with the degeneracy of the genetic code in two manners: having more than one tRNA (with a specific anti-codon) for a particular amino acid; and 'wobble' base-pairing, i.e. permitting non-standard base-pairing at the 3rd anti-codon position. Lineage: Eukaryota; Metazoa; Chordata; Lepidosauria; Squamata; Lacertidae. The record is from RNAcentral.